Sabethes cyaneus is the source of this 678-nucleotide long non-coding RNA. RefSeq lists it as uncharacterized. The record is from RefSeq and is a predicted model, not a curated record. The transcript is spliced from 3 exons. Lineage: Eukaryota; Metazoa; Arthropoda; Insecta; Diptera; Culicidae.
AAAACGGUAAUGUGCGCAUAUGCAAUGUUGGGUACUAUUCUCCAACUUAACGUUGAGUAGUUUGUACCUAACGUUGGAUGAAAAUAAUUGAACCCUAUAGCGAGCUUUGUUGAUGGUGGUUUUGCUCGUUUUAUUUACUUCGUGAUUAGUUUUUUCCGCGGUGGCAUUUCGUUCGCGGUUUCGUUUAUGAACCAUUGACUGUUCGAUGUCGAAUGUUCGAAAUUGGACUGCAGUGUUACGUAUAAACAGCAGAAAAUGGAAGAACAGCAUCAAUCUUCUUAUGACUUAGAUGGAUCAUCGAGACUUUUCAUACCGACCCGUGAUAGCUAAUCAGGAAGCUCAAUAGUAUGCCAAACUGUGGGACUACUGCGGAUCGAAUCCCGAGAAGUCCGAUGCCUUCCAGCAUCACUUGCUUGUGUACAACGCUUCCGAUCGUCACUAGGUCACUCCCUGUUUGCUAGAUCAGCUGGACGAUCGAUAACAUGAUAGAUACCCAACAAACAUUUUUGUUUAAGAAUAGCUUAUACAUUUAUUUUACAGCUAAUACACAUGGAACAAGUGCUUGAUAGGCUAUUAUACAACAGAAAUAUUCCUUGGGUAUUCAGAACAGAACUAUUCCGAUGCAAUCAAGCUUGUCACAGCCGGUUGCAUCUGUUUCGGGUUUACAAACACUCCAAU